RNAcentral lists this long non-coding RNA (1000 nucleotides) under Nicotiana benthamiana. RNAcentral describes it as "long non-coding RNA (NBEN_LNC027161)". The record is from RNAcentral. Lineage: Eukaryota; Viridiplantae; Streptophyta; Magnoliopsida; Solanales; Solanaceae.
CGCAAUGGACUCGGUCUCAGAAAUUAAUGCUCCACUUCUUUGAUCAUCACAUUUAGUGUAGCCGUGACCGUAGUAAUUAGCUGCCGCGAUUGGCGGUGGAGCGGCCGCUACCUCCAGCUCUACAGUGGAAUUCUUGCCGGUUAGUCUCUGAACUACUGAUUUGAAGCUGCUGGCAUCCAUCUCUAUAUAUUGUGUGUUGAUUACAACUAUCUUCACUGGAACUCUCAUAUUUUUUGCUGCUUUUGACAUGUUUAAUUAUUUUCUAAGCCUUCUUCUUCUUCUUAUUGCUAGAAACUAAUACAGCUAUUAGCUUCUGUUUCUUUGACGUUUAAAUGAAAAAAUGUUGAUAACUGGCUUUAAUUAAGGAAGGAGGGGCUGUUUAUUUGAUUACUGAAGAUAAUAUGUGGGUACAUGGGUGUAGGAUUUGGAAGUAUGUACAGCAAAUAAUUGAAGUUCCAUUGUUUUAGUUCUUGUUAACGUUGACAUGGUUGACAGUUUGACAGUUUAGAAAUGGCGUCGUUAAAAAAUAGUUGACCGUUGUGUGCUGUCUAGAAAGACUAGAGGUGUUAAGUCAAUGAUGAUUAUUUCUUUUAAAAAAAAGAAAAAUUGUCAAAGCACGCAUUAGAGAAAAUGUACUCUUUUCGCACGAUCCACGAAAUUGCAUCGAUUAAUUUUGGCUACCAGUUAUUGACAAAAAUAGGGGGGCUCAUGCAUACAGUAGCUAGGUGGGAUUUGUUAUAAAUAUAUUGACCGGAUCAGAUAUCCUAAUUAUCCUUGAAAUAUGUAUGUUGAAUGUAGAAGAAAGGUCUCAGUAACUUUCUAAGUGUGAUAAAAACAUGGUAUGUGUUGCAGGUAUUAACAGAACGAGCCCCAGAAACAAACAAGGCGGGCCCGACAAAUUUUGUGACAUAAAGUCAAACUUUAUGAGGUGUGUUAAUUUUUUUAAAAAUAUAUAUUAUUUUUAAUUUUAAUUCUAUUUUUAAAACUUUUUUUAGAUGCA